AAUUUUCAGUGAGAUGAAAUUCAUCACACAGUUUCAUAAUAUAUUCCUUGAACACCAGCCAGAAAACUUGCAGGAAUCCAAUUGUGAAUCCAUCCGGUCCAGAUGCUUUAUCUUUGUUACAUGCCCUCAGCCCUUCUAAGACUUCUUCUGGUGAAAUUUCUUUCCAAAUCCUGGUUGCUCCCCUCAUCUAGACAACUGAAAGAUAUACCAUCCAGAUUGGGUCUCCACUUCAUCUUUUCAGUGAGCAGGUCAGCAAAAUAGUCUUUGGCGUUAUCCCUCAGCUCCUAGUUUCCUUCGAUCUCCUCAUCCCCAAACAUCAAAGAUCCAAUAAAAUUAUUUCUUCUGUGGUGGCUUGCUAAACAGUGAGCGUAUCUAGUAUUACGAUCACCCUCCUCCACCCAUUUUGCUCUAGAUUUCUGUCUCCAGCUAGCCUCCUCCAUCUGCAUAAAAGAGUCAAUGCUAG
This 463-nucleotide long non-coding RNA is filed under the name Carica papaya (papaya). RNAcentral's name for it is "long non-coding RNA (CPAP_LNC015305)". Lineage: Eukaryota; Viridiplantae; Streptophyta; Magnoliopsida; Brassicales; Caricaceae. The record is from RNAcentral.